AUUGAACGCUGGCGGCAGGCCUAACACAUGCAAGUCGAACGGUAACAGGAAACAGCUUGCUGUUUCGCUGACGAGUGGCGGACGGGUGAGUAAUGUCUGGGAAACUGCCUGAUGGAGGGGGAUAACUACUGGAAACGGUAGCUAAUACCGCAUAACGUCGCAAAACCAAAGAGGGGGACCUUCGGGCCUCUUGCCAUCGGAUGUGCCCAGAUGGGAUUAGCUAGUAGGUGGGGUAACGGCUCACCUAGGCGACGAUCCCUAGCUGGUCUGAGAGGAUGACCAGCCACACUGGAACUGAGACACGGUCCAGACUCCUACGGGAGGCAGCAGUGGGGAAUAUUGCACAAUGGGCGCAAGCCUGAUGCAGCCAUGCCGCGUGUAUGAAGAAGGCCUUCGGGUUGUAAAGUACUUUCAGCGGGGAGGAAGGGAGUAAAGUUAAUACCUUUGCUCAUUGACGUUACCCGCAGAAGAAGCACCGGCUAACUCCGUG
This 490-nucleotide ribosomal RNA is filed under the name uncultured bacterium. RNAcentral describes it as "partial 16S ribosomal RNA". It matches the Rfam family "Bacterial small subunit ribosomal RNA", at positions 30 to 507 of the family's 1533-position model. The record is from RNAcentral.